Long non-coding RNA from Artibeus jamaicensis (Jamaican fruit-eating bat), 1960 nucleotides. RefSeq lists it as uncharacterized. Lineage: Eukaryota; Metazoa; Chordata; Mammalia; Chiroptera; Phyllostomidae. The transcript is spliced from 4 exons. The record is from RefSeq and is a predicted model, not a curated record.
GAGAUUACAGUCCAGCCCGCUCGUUUUACAAGUCAGGAAACCGAGGCCCAGGUGCCUGAAUUGCCCGACUCCAGAGUCUCAGCUCCACGCUGCUUCACGAAGCCAGAGGCGGCCGGGUCGGUUCACCGUAAGAACCACGUGGAGACUGUAGAGCGCCCGGAGCAGCCCCUGUUCCCGAAGGGGCCGUGGGUACAGUCCGGGGAGACCAAAAGAAUAGAAACGCGGUGGCCACUAGAGAUAGGAAAAACCCUCUGGACAGGCCUGCGAUCACACUGGACGGCCAUCGACAUAGCCCAUAUCUGAGUCGCAGGCGACUCAGGAAGCCCCGCAGACGCCCGUGUCAUUCAGUGGCCACCACCUCACUCAAGAUGUCAGGCUGGUCCUGCCAGCUCCUGGGAGCUGGUCUUCAGCUCUGCCUUGUGACACCAAACCAAGGGCCAUCAGUCUUCAGUUGAUGGUGGAGAGAGGACCCCUUACUCCCAAAUGAAGAAAUCACACCUGAGGCAGAAGGCCGCCGGCCGAGACAGAGCACCCGUGGAACGCAGACGCGACCGUCCCCUGCCCCACGUCCUGGAGGGCGCACUUGGUGAGAGCUCACGUCUACCAGGGUCACACCAGGCCUCCGUGGGGUUUGGCCUUUUGUGGCCCAGGGGCAUCUUAGACCAUCCCUCUCCUAUUUUCCAUGUUCUUUUGAGUGCCUGGAGGCUCCUGGAUCUAAACUCUUAAUUUGUUCUAAGUAAUUACAUUAAAGAAUUGACCGUUGUUCUGAGCAGUGAAAAUGAAGGUUUUGUUUGGCCUGUGUGCUUUGCUUCCAGGGCAUGAUGCCAAGUCUCGGAGCAUGUCUGGGCAUGAAGAAGGGACCAGAAGAAGGGACCUUUGUGGUCCAAGAGCUUGUACCUUUGAAUGAAUAUUAAAAGGAUUUUAUGGCAUUCUGCAAGCACAGACUUUACUCACUGCAAGCCAUUCAGCUUCGACGGGGGUCUGCAAGCUGUGAGUUAAUGUUACCAGAACGAAGGAAGAGUGGAAAAGGCAAGAGGGACGCUGAUGCGUGUGCUGUCUUCAAGUUCCCAGGACCGUCCCUCCUCAUCGCGGCGAAAAUGCAGCGUGAGCAGGGGUAACUCCCAGACAAAGCAUUCACUGGAAGAUCCCAAAUACAGUUGGAAGACUUGCUACUCCUUUAUCGGAGGACGUGUGGGGAGCUUAGGAGGAGAGAGUAACAUGUUAAAAAUUAUGUUUAUUCAAAUAGGCAUAAAUCAGGUUUUAUAUCCAUAAGGGUCUGAGAAGUUGUGGUUUAGAUUCCCUCAGCCGAUCGCUCGAUCAUUUGUGCAGCAAACGGUUCUUUAUCAGUGUUGCACUAAUACUUGGUGCUGGGUUAUUCCCCAGUCCCACUGGGGUUUUUCCAGCCUUUCACGGAGACUUUACAAGGUGCAGGGGCUUGGCUCACCGUCAGCAUACAUGUAUUUGCAUUUUGAAUGCGUCUCCUUCCAACUCUGAAACCAUGGAAAGAAGUCAUAUAUAUGGAAACCUGAGAGGAAUGAGGAGAAAAAGAACAUAAACACAGGCAGAAAAAAGAGCUCAAUGUCUGUCACCCUUACUAGACUGUUAGUUCAGAGGAGAGCCAGGAGAAGGUGGGCCACCGGGGCUGUGCAAUGGGCUCCCUCAAUUGCUGCUUUUCGCCCAAAGACCACAAAUGAAGCCAUUGUUCCCUCAUUAAAAACUGGCCUGUUAAAAAGCCAAGUGGCUAAUGAUGGCGCUGGCCACGAGGGGAGAAGGCAAACCCCACAGGCAGAAGAAGCAGGGGCGAGUGUCACCAUGGGCCCUCCUUCCUCCUCGCCAAGACCUGAGUUUUACUGCCCUGUGAGGGACCACCCCAGGGGUCCCCAACACUUCCGAUGCCCAGAACCCACAGGAGCACCCGGUUACACUAAUUUUUCAGAUAGUGGUUUUCCAGGCAGAUUUU